This is a long non-coding RNA of Apodemus sylvaticus (European woodmouse), 495 nucleotides long. RefSeq lists it as uncharacterized. NCBI's taxonomy places the organism in Eukaryota, Metazoa, Chordata, Mammalia, Rodentia, Muridae. The transcript is spliced from 3 exons. The record is from RefSeq and is a predicted model, not a curated record.
GGUUGCUGGCCACUUCCAGCUUCUGUGAAACAGAAACGAUGCUCAGUGAGUUUGCUAGGCCUUGCCUUAGGUAAUUUUCGCUUCCUGCUGCCUGGGUCUUCAUCUGCAGUGAGGGCUCGGGACCUAACCCUGCAGGUUCCCCCAAGGACCAAAAGCCUGAACAACGCGCUGAAGGCCAGAGGUCUGAUUGUGUGCCUUUGGCGCCCUCUCCUGGAAGCUGGAGUCGUUGCAUACUUUCAGCUGUUAAGACGCAUGCAGGAGGAGCCUGAACUUAAGAACACACUGGGGCCUCUUGGUUCCAUGUGCUCCUGUGGUUCCCCAUCCGAGCCACCCGGGGCUCUGGAGAAGCAGCCCCAUCUCCUGGAGGGCCCCUCAACAUGAUGUACCAGAGACAGACAACAGAAAGACAGGUUCUCAGAUCCCACUGCCCCAAGACUGGCCCGGGUGGAGACAAAGAUGGCAGCCCAGGAGGGAGAGAGGGUGCGGCUCACCAUC